Pan troglodytes (chimpanzee) is the source of this 85-nucleotide small nuclear RNA. NCBI's taxonomy places the organism in Eukaryota, Metazoa, Chordata, Mammalia, Primates, Hominidae. The record is from Rfam.
GUGCUCACCUCAGCAGCACAUAUACUAAAAUUGGAACGAUACAGAGAAGAUUAGCAAUUCUCUUUAAAAUAAAUAAAAAAUUUUA